AAUGAACGCUGGCGGCGUGCUUUACACAUGCAAGUCGAGCGAGGCGGGUAGCAAUACCCAGUCGAGCGGCGAACGGGUGAGUAACGCGUGGAUUAUCUGCCCUGAGGUGGGGGAUAACCCGGGGAAACUCGGGCUAAUACCGCAUGACACCGUGAGGUCAAAGGGGCCGCAAGGCUCUCGCCAUGGGAGGAGUCCGCGUUCGAUUAGCUAGUUGGUAGGGUAAUGGCCUACCAAGGCGACGAUCGAUAGCCGGCCUGAGAGGGUGAUCGGCCACACUGGAACUGAGACACGGUCCAGACUCCUACGGGAGGCAGCAGUGGGGAAUUUUGCGCAAUGGGGGAAACCCUGACGCAGCAACGCCGCGUGGAGGAUGAAGGUCCUUGGAUUGUAAACUCCUGUCAGCAGGGAAAAAGCGAGUCGGGCUCAUACCCCCGGUGAGUUGA
RNAcentral lists this ribosomal RNA (443 nucleotides) under uncultured bacterium. RNAcentral describes it as "bacterial SSU rRNA". It matches the Rfam family "Bacterial small subunit ribosomal RNA", at positions 29 to 477 of the family's 1533-position model. The record is from RNAcentral.